Alosa sapidissima (American shad) is the source of this 109-nucleotide long non-coding RNA. RefSeq lists it as uncharacterized. NCBI's taxonomy places the organism in Eukaryota, Metazoa, Chordata, Actinopteri, Clupeiformes, Clupeidae. The record is from RefSeq and is a predicted model, not a curated record. The transcript has 3 exons.
UAUUCUCUCUGUUCAAACUCCAUUUACACAAAGACAUUAGACUUGAAAGUGAAAUUUGGCCAGAAAGGAGUCAUACAUGUUUACUCCAUGAAAGAAAAAUAUGUGAAAC